This 448-nucleotide long non-coding RNA is filed under the name Pavo cristatus (Indian peafowl). RNAcentral's name for it is "lncRNA (ENSPSTG00000009553.1)". Lineage: Eukaryota; Metazoa; Chordata; Aves; Galliformes; Phasianidae. The record is from RNAcentral.
GGUCCCUGCACUCCGGCGCUGCCGCUCCCGCGCCGCCAACGGCGGGGGAUUUCUGCCUCCCCGGCCCCGGAGGGGGAACGCGACCUGUUCGCCGGCACGCGCGGAGCCGUCCCGGGGCAGGAGAAAAUCCAGGACCCCCAUGGAGAAAGUGCUUAUAAAUCAAAAAGGAAGAGAAGAGGCUUCAUCAGAGGAGCUAUUCACAGUGCUAUAUAUGAACCAACGAAGCAAGAUCCCUUUCCAAGGAGAUUGGCACAGAUUUAUACACCUGGUCACAGGCACCUGGCACCCCUCUGACACUGCUCCCGCCACUGGACAGAAGAGGCAAAGCAUUCGCCAAACCAUUGAUUUCAAGCAUGUGUGUGUGGUACUAUUAGUGGAAGUGAGAUUCAAGGGGAAUUUACCAUUGAAAGAGUGGCAAAGCAGUCUGUGCAACAAGAUGGGGCUGUGA